UUAUGCAUUUUCUUGAUAACGUAGAACUCGAAAGAUGUCGGUAAUGUUGAUAUACGCGCGAUCAUCUAAUAAAUUUAUUAUACUGACAUAUAUUGAUUUUCAUUUGGAAUCGAUAAUCUAAUAUAUGCUACAUUCAUAAAGCAAGCUUAUGUGAUAAUCCAACUUAAAAUUACAAGGAUGAUACUAGAUCUGUGCUCACAUCACGUAGGACUAUCUUGGCUUCUAUCAAUUCCUGAUCUUCUUCUUCCUCAUCAUCAGUUAAAACUGGACUCUGCGGUUUGAUACUACUUUUUGGUGGUCUGUUAAAUAAGUGAAUUGUGUUC
Molecule: long non-coding RNA, 323 nt
Organism: Cataglyphis hispanica
Lineage: Eukaryota; Metazoa; Arthropoda; Insecta; Hymenoptera; Formicidae
Exons: 3
Source: RefSeq, a predicted model, not a curated record